CCUACGGGCCGCAGCAGUGGGGAAUAUUGCACAAUGGGCGCAAGCCUGAUGCAGCCAUGCCGCGUGUAUGAAGAAGGCCUUCGGGUUGUAAAGUACUUUCAGCGGGGAGGAAGGUGUUGUGGUUAAUAACCACAGCAAUUGACGUUACCCGCAGAAGAAGCACCGGCUAACUCCGUGCCAGCAGCCGCGGUAAUACGGAGGGUGCAAGCGUUAAUCGGAAUUACUGGGCGUAAAGCGCACGCAGGCGGUUUGUUAAGUCAGAUGUGAAAUCCCCGGGCUCAACCUGGGAACUGCAUCUGAUACUGGCAAGCUUGAGUCUCGUAGAGGGGGGUAGAAUUCCAGGUGUAGCGGUGAAAUGCGUAGAGAUCUGAAGGAAUACCAGUGGCGAAGGCGGCCCCCUGGACAAAGACUGACGCUCAGAUGCGAAAGCGUGGGGAGCAAACAGGAUUAGAUACCCCGGUAGUC
This 465-nucleotide ribosomal RNA is filed under the name uncultured bacterium. RNAcentral describes it as "bacterial SSU rRNA". It matches the Rfam family "Bacterial small subunit ribosomal RNA", at positions 338 to 795 of the family's 1533-position model. The record is from RNAcentral.